AACCCAGUGAGGAAGAUAACCCAUUGAUAGGAAGUGCCGUAUGACACUUUAAUCCGCAGCGACCACACUGUGAGCCGUCUUGAUCCCAUCCACCAGUCAGCGAUGAUUUGGUCGGGACCAAGCUUCUCCGGUGUACCGCUGUGUGGGUGAUUUGAAACGGGACUCUGAGGGUU
Molecule: small nucleolar RNA, 173 nt
Organism: Tripterygium wilfordii
Lineage: Eukaryota; Viridiplantae; Streptophyta; Magnoliopsida; Celastrales; Celastraceae
Product: small nucleolar RNA Z112
Exons: 1
Source: RefSeq, a predicted model, not a curated record